ACGCUCGACACCUACGGGAGGAGCAGUGGGGAAUAUUGCACAAUGGAGGAAACUCUGAUGCAGCGACGCCGCGUGAGCGAAGAAGUAUUUCGGUAUGUAAAGCUCUAUCAGCAGGGAAGAAAAAGGACGGUACCUGACUAAGAAGCUCCGGCUAAAUACGUGCCAGCAGCCGCGGUAAUCUGAGCGGGCUGGCAAGGC
RNAcentral lists this ribosomal RNA (198 nucleotides) under uncultured bacterium. Its description in RNAcentral is "partial 16S ribosomal RNA". It matches the Rfam family "Bacterial small subunit ribosomal RNA", at positions 328 to 539 of the family's 1533-position model. The record is from RNAcentral.